This 293-nucleotide ribosomal RNA is filed under the name uncultured bacterium. Its description in RNAcentral is "partial 16S ribosomal RNA". It matches the Rfam family "Bacterial small subunit ribosomal RNA", at positions 504 to 796 of the family's 1533-position model. The record is from RNAcentral.
UGUGCCAGCCGCCGCGGUAAUACGUAGGGGGCAAGCGUUGUCCGGAAUUAUUGGGCGUAAAGCGCGCGCAGGCGGCUUCUUAAGUCAGGUGUGAAAGCCCACGGCUCAACCGUGGAGGGCCACUUGAAACUGGGAAGCUUGAGUGCAGGAGAGGAGAGCGGAAUUCCACGUGUAGCGGUGAAAUGCGUAGAGAUGUGGAGGAACACCCGUGGCGAAGGCGGCUCUCUGGCCUGUAACUGACGCUGAGGCGCGAAAGCGUGGGGAGCGAACAGGAUUAGAUACCCGAGUAGUCC